GCUUCCAUGGUGUAGUUGGUUAUCACGUCAGUCUCAUAAUCUGAAGGUCGCCAGUUCGAGCCUGGCUGGGAGCA
This 74-nucleotide transfer RNA is filed under the name Microsporum canis CBS 113480. Its description in RNAcentral is "tRNA-Met (CAT) (tRNA-Met-CAT-1-1)". It matches the Rfam family "tRNA". From Rfam's summary of the family: Transfer RNA (tRNA) molecules are approximately 80 nucleotides in length. Their secondary structure includes four short double-helical elements and three loops (D, anti-codon, and T loops). Further hydrogen bonds mediate the characteristic L-shaped molecular structure. tRNAs have two regions of fundamental functional importance: the anti-codon, which is responsible for specific mRNA codon recognition, and the 3' end, to which the tRNAs corresponding amino acid is attached (by aminoacyl-tRNA synthetases). tRNAs cope with the degeneracy of the genetic code in two manners: having more than one tRNA (with a specific anti-codon) for a particular amino acid; and 'wobble' base-pairing, i.e. permitting non-standard base-pairing at the 3rd anti-codon position. The record is from RNAcentral. Lineage: Eukaryota; Fungi; Ascomycota; Eurotiomycetes; Onygenales; Arthrodermataceae.